CACUUUGUGGAUGUCGGGGUGCGUGU
This 26-nucleotide small RNA is filed under the name Bombyx mori (domestic silkworm). RNAcentral describes it as "ovarian small RNA-13072". Lineage: Eukaryota; Metazoa; Arthropoda; Insecta; Lepidoptera; Bombycidae. The record is from RNAcentral.